UACGGAGGGUGCAAGCGUUGCUCGGAAUUAUUGGGCGUAAAGAGCUCGUAGGCGGCCUGUUGCGUCCGCUGUGAAAUCCCGGGGCUCAACCCCGGGCCUGCAGUGGAUACGGGCUGGCUAGAGGCAGGCAGGGGAGAACGGAAUUCCUGGUGUAGCGGUGAAAUGCGCAGAUAUCAGGAGGAACACCGGUGGCGAAGGCGGUUCUCUGGGCCGAUAUUGACGCUGAGGAGCGAAAGCGUGGGGAGCAAACAGG
RNAcentral lists this ribosomal RNA (253 nucleotides) under uncultured bacterium. Its description in RNAcentral is "partial 16S ribosomal RNA". It matches the Rfam family "Bacterial small subunit ribosomal RNA", at positions 524 to 776 of the family's 1533-position model. The record is from RNAcentral.